UCACCACAGAGGUCUGCCCACAGACAGAUACAUGUGGAGUGAUGCUUCUGGCCUGCAGGAAUGUACAAAAAUCAACACCAAACCUCCUUCUCCACAGUGGUCUUGGGUAUCCGAUUGGUAUAUUGAUUUUAAUACUUCAGGCGGAACCGAUCGGGAAGGCUGGCAGUACGCCGCAGACUUUCCAGCGUCCUACCAUGGUCACAAGACAAUGAAAGACUUUGUCAGACGGAGGCGCUG
This is a long non-coding RNA of Athene cunicularia (burrowing owl), 237 nucleotides long. RefSeq lists it as uncharacterized. Lineage: Eukaryota; Metazoa; Chordata; Aves; Strigiformes; Strigidae. The record is from RefSeq and is a predicted model, not a curated record. The transcript has 3 exons.